RNAcentral lists this ribosomal RNA (402 nucleotides) under bacterium. RNAcentral describes it as "partial 16S ribosomal RNA". It matches the Rfam family "Bacterial small subunit ribosomal RNA", at positions 355 to 776 of the family's 1533-position model. The record is from RNAcentral.
UGGGGAAUUUUGCACAAUGGGGGAAACCCUGAUGCAGCGACGCCGCGUGAUUUAGAAGGCCUUCGGGUUGUAAAAAUCUUUUCUAUGGGAAGAAAAUGACAGUACCAUAGGAAUAAGGACCGGCUAAUUACGUGCCAGCAGCCGCGGUAAUACGUAAGGUCCGAGCGUUGUCCGGAAUCAUUGGGCGUAAAGGGUACGUAGGCGGGUAAGCAAGUUAGAAGUGAAAUCCUAUAGCUCAACUAUAGUAAGCUUUUAAAACAGCUCAUCUUUAGGUAUGGAAGGGAAAGUGGAAUUCCUAGUGUAGCGGUGAAAUGCGCAGAUAUUAGGAGGAAUACCGGUGGCGAAGGCGACUUUCUGGCCAUAACCUGACGCUGAGGUACGAAAGCGUGGGUAGCAAACAGG